GACCUGGGUAUAGGGGCGAAAGACCAAUCUAGACCGGUAAUAGCUGGUUCCUCUCGAAACUGCUCGCAGGCAGACCUCAGCAGAGACGGGGCAUGCGGUAGAGCACUGAUUGCGUGUUUAGGAAGCGAAAGUUUUCGGCAUGCUGUCAAACUCCGAAUGUGUGUCCGUCGUAGAAGCUGGGCAGUGAGGGCAUCGGGGUAAGCUUGAUGUCCAAAAGGAAAACAAACCAGACCAAAGUUAAGGUCCCUAAGUAACAGCUAAGUGUUAAAGAACAAAUAGUGUUUGAAGGCAUAGACAGCUGGAAGGUUGGCUUAGAGGCAGCCAUCCUUUAAAGAGUUCGUAACAGAUCACCAGUCAAGUCUCUGAGCCUAGAAAAUGGACGGGACUAAGUUGUUCACCGAUACUUUGGGCCACCGAAAGGUGAUGCGAUAGAGAGGCGUCGUGCGCGGGUGGAAGUGGGGCCGUGAGGUCCUGUGGACCGCGUACGAAUGAUAAUCAUGGAAAUAGUAGUAGCGUAGAUGGGUGAGAAUCCCAUCCGCCGGAGGGGCUAGGGUUCCUCGACGAUGUUCAUCAGUCGAGGGUUAGUCGGUCCUAAGGUUCCCCCUAACAGGAGGAAUCGAAAGGGAAGCAGGUUAAAAUUCCUGCACCAAUUCACAUUUUGUCCAUUUCCUGACACAUCGGGUCCAGUGGAACACUCUUGUCUGAGUGUUGCCUUCAGCAAUAAAUUUGUGGAGUACCGUAAUGGUGAGAAACAAACUAAGCUGUUGGGAGGCGAAGUAUUUCGCUUCUGCUCUAGCCUGGUGUCCGUGAAAAGGGAUCUGGAGUCGUGUGAGUUGUCCGUACCGAGAUCUGACACAGGUGCCCCUAGGUGAGUAGCCUAAGGCGUCGCGGCAGAAUCCGGGCGAGGGAAUUCGGCAAAUUAGCCCCGUACCUUUGGUAUAAGGGGUGCCAGCUCUGUAGAGAGCUGGUCGCAGUGACUAGGGAGCUCCGACUGUUUACUAAAAACACAGGUGGCUGCUAGUCCGUAAGGAUGUGUAUAGCCGCUGAAUCCUGCCCAGUGGCGGUAUCUGAAACCCGGUUACAACCGGACGAAGGACCGCUAAACGGCGGGGGUAACUAUGACCCUCUUAAGGUAGCGUAAUACCUUGUCGCUUAAUUGGCGACUUGCACGAACGGCCUAACGAGAGCUCUACUGUCCCCGCCCGGAGCCCGAUGAAAUUGACUUACUGGCGCACAGUCCAGUACGUCCCAGCCGCAAGCGAAGACCCCGUGGAGCUUUACUGCAACCUGCCGUUGUGGCACGAGUUGUUUUGUGUAGAGUAGACGGGAGACAUUACACAGGUGCGAGCGCUAGCUCGUCGCCGAGUCACCGAUGAAACACCGUCCUUUUCGAUUCGUCCCACUCACCUCUUCGGAGGAACCCCGGUAGGCGGGCAGUUUGGGUGGGGCGCCACUCCCUCGAAAAUAUAACAAGGGAGCCCAAAGGUCAGCUUAGGUAGGUCAGGAAUCUACCGUUAAGCGCAAGGGCAAAAGCUGGCUUGACGUGGUUUGGCAACACAACAAACCACGAUGCGAAAGCAGGGCCUAGCGAACCAACCAGCGCCGUUAGUAGGUGCGGUUGAUAACAGAAAAGUUACCCCGGGGAUAACUGAGUUGUCUGGAGCAAGAGCCCACAUCGACCUCCAGGCUUGCUACUUCGAUGUCGUCUCUUCCUAUCCUGGGUGUGCAGAAGCACCCAAGGGUGGGGUUGUUCGCCCAUUAAAAGGGAUCGUGAGAUGGGUUUAGACCGUCGUGAGACAG
This 1800-nucleotide ribosomal RNA is filed under the name seawater metagenome. RNAcentral describes it as "bacterial LSU rRNA". It matches the Rfam family "Archaeal large subunit ribosomal RNA", at positions 884 to 2698 of the family's 2987-position model. The record is from RNAcentral.